This 627-nucleotide long non-coding RNA is filed under the name Homo sapiens (human). RNAcentral describes it as "non-protein coding lnc-CRIM1-1:2". Lineage: Eukaryota; Metazoa; Chordata; Mammalia; Primates; Hominidae. The record is from RNAcentral.
UGUGUCAUGCAGCUGCUAUGGGGGGAUGGAGGAGGAGUGGCAUUGGCAAUUCAAGACUGCCUUUCCUACCCUUUUCAGUGCCUCUUUCAGUGAUACGAAGCUAAAACCAGAUACUGCUUUCAUAGUACUUUUCUGACCACGGUUUUCUGGAGUUUUUUCGUAUGGAGUUUGUAAGCUUCCUGACAUGGAUUAUAACUGUACUUGAUGGAGCACAGUUAUAAUAGCUGCUUUAGAGUCCUUGAUAAUUCCCACAUCUGAGUCAUCUCAAGUUAUUUUUGGCAGAUUUUGAUGGAUGUACAUUGAUGGAUAGCCACGUGGAUCCAGAAAAUAAAGACUUCUACUCUGCAUUUGACUAAAGCAGAAGAUAUGCAAGGAAGCUCAGUCUCUCAAUUGAGUGGAUUCUGAAAUUUAUCCUGUUGUCUUCAGCUACUAAGGCUAAUUUGCAAAUCACACUGUGCACGGUUUUAUCUCUCCCAAUAAAUACAAUAUUCUACAUCCUCUGUUGUACUCAGAAUUUGGAAAUUAACCCCAGUAUGCUGAUUAAUAGUCAUAACUAUAUCUAGAUAACAAAAUAUGCAUAUAUAUGAAGGAGGCAGACAAUAGGGGAGGGCAGGUUGAAAGUUUUUU